GCUUAGAAGCAGCCAUCCUUUAAAGAAAGCGUAACAGCUCACUGGUCUAAUUAAGAGAUCCUGCACCGAAAAUGUAACGGGGCUCAAACCAUUUACCGAAGCUUUGACAAUUACUUUUAGUAAUUGGGUAGCGGAGCGUUCUGUAAGCCUAUGAAGGUGAAGCGUAAGCUUUGCUGGAGGUAUCAGAAGUGCGAAUGCUGACAUGAGUAACGAUAAUGAAUGUGAAAGACAUUCACGCCGAAAUCCUAAGGUUUCCUGCGUAAAGCUAAUCUGCGCAGGGUUAGUCGGCCCCUAAGACGAGGGCGAAAGCCGUAGUCGAUGGAAAGCAGGUUAAUAUUCCUGCACCAGCUGGUAGUGACGGAUGGAGUAAAUUGUAAGUUCUUACUGGAUUGAACUUGCAGUGAAUCUGUUCCUGGAAAUAGCUCCAGCAUAAGACCGUACCAAAACCGACACAGGUAGGAAGGUAGAGAAUACCAAGGCGCUUGAGAGAACGAUGUUGAAGGAACUCGGCAAAUUACACUUGUAACUUCGGGAUAAGAGUGACCUGUCAUUGGGCAACCAGUGAUGGGUGGCACAGAAAUGGGGGUAGCGACUGUUUACUAAAAACAUAGCACUAUGCAAAGUCGAAAGACGACGUAUAUGGUGUGACGCCUGCCCGGUGCCGGAAGGUUAAUAGGAGGGGUGCAAGCUCUGAAUUGAAGCCCCGGUGAACGGCGGCCGUAACUAUAACGGUCCUAAGGUAGCGAAAUUCCUUGUCGGGUAAGUUCCGACCUGCACGAAUGGCGUAACGAUUUCCCCACUGUCUCCAACAUCGACUCAGUGAAAUUGAAUUCUCGGUUAAGAUGCCGAGUAACCGUGGUUAGACGGAAAGACCCCGUGCACCUUUACUGCAGCUUUGUAUUGGUAUUAGGGGAAAGAUGUGUAGCAUAGGUGGGAGACUUUGAAGAAUUGGCGCUAGCCAGUUUGGAGUCAACAGUGAAAUACCACUCUUCUUUUCCUUGAUGCCUAACCAUACACCGUUAUCCGGUGUUGGGACCAUGCAUGGUGGGCAGUUUGACUGGGGCGGUCGCCUCCCAAAGAGUAACGGAGGCGCGCGAUGGUAGGCUCAGAACGCUUGGAAACCGUUCGUCGAGUGCAAUGGCAUAAGCCUGCCUGACUGCAAGACCUACAAGUCGAGCAGAGACGAAAGUCGGUCAUAGUGAUCCGGUGGCACUUCGUGGAAGGGCCAUCGCUCAACGGAUAAAAGGUACGCCGGGGAUAACAGGCUGA
This 1269-nucleotide ribosomal RNA is filed under the name seawater metagenome. RNAcentral describes it as "bacterial LSU rRNA". It matches the Rfam family "Bacterial large subunit ribosomal RNA", at positions 1104 to 2485 of the family's 2925-position model. The record is from RNAcentral.